RNAcentral lists this long non-coding RNA (901 nucleotides) under Homo sapiens (human). RNAcentral's name for it is "HSALNT0119490". The record is from RNAcentral. Lineage: Eukaryota; Metazoa; Chordata; Mammalia; Primates; Hominidae.
AGAAGAAAGGGGAAGCAGGUGGAAAAGCAAUUAAAAAAAAAUCAGGUUCUCUUUCGGUGAUUCAGAGCUGAAGGUGCCUCACUGCCCUGUGGAACAGGUGAAUAAAGCCUUCCCAGGAUCUCUCUCUAGCCUAUUAUCUCCUGUUAGACACAGCCCAGAAAAUGAAUAGAGACAAGUCCUGGCUGGGUCUGGGUUCAGAAACAUAAUAGAAGGAUUCAUCUAAUGUGUGCACUUUGGACUAUUUAAAUAGUUCUUAACCACUGAUCUCCUCCCUCAGGGAAGGGAAUUCUUUCCACAGUUGCUAGUUCCUCACACCUCUGCCUCUAUGGGAUUCUCCUGGUCCCCACAUGCUCUGCUGUGUCUUCUAGCUGUCGGCCACUGUGGAGGAAGUGAACCUUCUAGAUCCUGCUGACUCAUACAAUGAGUUUUGUGUGGACCAUCAGACAAAAGGGCUGGCUGGUGAAGGUGGCUGUUGUCUGGAAAUUCCUCCCAGCUCUCCUCUAAUUAUGUCAUAAGGACUGGAGGCCCCUUAGCCUGCUUGUGAUAACACGCAAGGAAAUAUGGGCCAACUCUUCACAUGAACACAAGAUAUUUCCAUGCUAGCCUUUUGCAAGUAACAACAGAGAGAGCUCUGUGCAGUUUUCACUGGAAUGCCUGUGGAUUGCUUGUGUCAUAACUGUAAUCUAAAGAGUUGUCCAUUUGUUGAUUCCUUUGUAUUUGUAUUGGUAGAAUUGCCACUAUCAAACCAAGAUCUUUAGCUGCCUUUGUAUCAACUUCUUUGGAGCUUAUGUGAUUUUCCAGAAAAUUUCCAAGGCAUAGUUUUGUCCCUAAGUCCCAUGAAUAUGUAAUAUUUUGUGUCUCUCUAUUAAAAUAGCACUUUUUGUGCAUUCCAUUAACAAAU